RNAcentral lists this ribosomal RNA (301 nucleotides) under uncultured bacterium. Its description in RNAcentral is "partial 16S ribosomal RNA". It matches the Rfam family "Bacterial small subunit ribosomal RNA", at positions 509 to 807 of the family's 1533-position model. The record is from RNAcentral.
CAGCAGCCGCGGGAAUGCGAAGGGUGCAAGCGUUAAUCGGAAUUACUGGGCGUAAAGCGUGCGUAGGCGGUUUGUUAAGUCUGUUGUGAAAUCCCCGGGCUCAACCUGGGAAUGGCAAUGGAUACUGGCAAGCUAGAGUGUGUCAGAGGAUGGUGGAAUUCCCGGUGUAGCGGUGAAAUGCGUAGAGAUCGGGAGGAACAUCAGUGGCGAAGGCGGCCAUCUGGGACAACACUGACGCUGAGGCACGAAAGCGUGGGGAGCAAACAGGAUUAGAUACCCCCGUAGUCCCUGUCUCUUAUAC